CUGGAUGUCACGCAGAAGCUGCCCAGUGCUCUGAGAAGAAGCGAAACCAGAAAGGAGGGAAGGGCCAGCCAGGGAAGUGGAGAGAGAGAUCCAGAGGCAGGAGAGGACAGGUGAGCAGGAAACUCUGGGGAGACCCACACAUCCCUCCAUCCUGGCGCAGGAGACUGCUGCUUCCGGGAGCCGUUGUUUGGGCUUGUUUGCGCUUCUGCAGCCUGGAGCUGCGAUUUAUUUCUUUAAAACAUCCCCUCGCUCGACACCCUGCAAUCUGUUCCGUGCUGCGGAAGACUCGUCUCGCCGUAUGUUUCUGUAGCACUUGGCAGGCUCCCUGCGGAGGCUGUCCUUCCCCAGCCCACCCCCAGUCGAGGUGGCUGCCCCCACCUGCACCUUCAGCUUGGAGGGUAACCCUUCAGGGGUCCCCCAGGAGCUUCAGGGACGACAGCAGCAGGUCUGAGACCAGGGACUGGCCCGCAGACCCCCGGGGUGGCUAUAAACUGUCAGGCCAGGAAGUCGAGGAUGCCCAGGCAGCCAACCCGGCCCUCAGUUGCUGGCUGCCCUUCAGCUUCCUGCUCAGUAGCAGGCUUUGGCUGCCACCCACUCCAGGAACUCGGAGGCACUGCCAAAGAAUUUGGACUGGGUCUCUACAGCACCCGGCCCUCCCAGGUGCUACUCGAUGUACACAUGUUUGGGUCACACAUGACAAUGGGAGGAGCUGUGGGCUGAGACCCAGGGAUCCAGCAAGGUUGCAGCCUGGUACUUUUCACAGCCAGAUACCCAGGUAUGAACUGCGCUAGAUCCGCAAUCCCCAGUGUGACCUCAGCAAGGUUCUCACUUCCCAGCCUCAGUCUCCCCAACCUGUGAAAUGGGGCCUUGGUGAGGGUGUGUGGUCCAUGCAGAGCCCUGGCAUUGAGCCCAGCACAGUGGGCACCACUCACUGUUGCCAUGGUGACCAGACUGACAGGUGGCACCUUUAUAUGCUCGACAUUCUUCAGCCCUCUGCUCAGAGCUUGGUAUGGGUGUCCAGGGCCACAAUGACAAAGAACUGUAAAGCAGCCACAGUAGACAAGAGAAAUACAUUCUUUUACUGUCAAGG
Molecule: long non-coding RNA, 1090 nt
Organism: Mastomys coucha (southern multimammate mouse)
Lineage: Eukaryota; Metazoa; Chordata; Mammalia; Rodentia; Muridae
Exons: 3
Source: RefSeq, a predicted model, not a curated record